GAAUUUUAUAUAAUUUUAUUAAGUUAGGUUUAUUUAGAGAAAGUAGUAAUAAAAUUAUAUUUAGUUGGGAGGAUUAUUAAAUUUAAUAAACUUUAAUUGAAAUAUGAUAUAAAUUAAUAGAUUUUUAGAAUGGUUAAUAAAUUAAGUAAGAAUUAAUUACCUUAGGGAUAACAGCGUAAUAUUUUUGGAGAGUUCAUAUUGAUAAGAAUGUUUGC
This 215-nucleotide ribosomal RNA is filed under the name Solenopsis sp. 03 GR-2021. RNAcentral describes it as "partial large subunit ribosomal RNA". The record is from RNAcentral. Lineage: Eukaryota; Metazoa; Arthropoda; Insecta; Hymenoptera; Formicidae.